CCUACGGGAGGCUGCAGUGAGGAAUAUUGGUCAAUGGACGAGAGUCUGAACCAGCCAAGUAGCGUGAAGGAUGACUGCCCUAUGGGUUGUAAACUUCUUUUAUAAAGGAAUAAAACGAGGCAAGUGUGCCUUUAUGCAUGUACUUUAUGAAUAAGGCUAGGCUAACUCCGUGCCAGCAGGCGCGGUAAUACGGAGGAUGCGAGCUUUAUCCGGAUUUAUUGGGGUUAAAGGGAGCGUAGAUGGGUUGUUAAGUCAGUUGUGAAAGUUUGCGGCUCAACCGUAAAAUUGCAAUUGAUACUGGCAGUCUUGAGUACAGUUGAGGUAAGCGGAAUUCGUGGUGUAGCGGUGAAAUGCUUAGAUAUCACGAAGAACCCCGAUUGCGAAGGCAGCUUACUAAACUGUGACUGACAUUGAUGCUCGAAAGUGUGGGUAUCAAACAGGAUUAGAUACCCGAGUAGUC
This 460-nucleotide ribosomal RNA is filed under the name uncultured bacterium. Its description in RNAcentral is "partial 16S ribosomal RNA". It matches the Rfam family "Bacterial small subunit ribosomal RNA", at positions 338 to 795 of the family's 1533-position model. The record is from RNAcentral.